AAUCAACGCUGGCGGCGCGCUUAACACAUGCAAGUCGCACGAGAAAGGGGAGCAAUCUCUGAGUACAGUGGCGUACGGGUGAGUAACACGUGGGUGAUCUACCUCUUAGUGGGGGAUAUCUCUGGGAAACCGGAGUUAAUACCGCAUAAGUUCGCAAGAAGAAAGCAGCAAUGCGCUGAGAGAGGAGCCCGCGGCCGAUUAGCUAGUUGGUGGGGUAAAGGCUCACCAAGGCAGAGAUCGGUAGCCGGCCUGAGAGGGCACACGGCCACACUGGCAC
RNAcentral lists this ribosomal RNA (277 nucleotides) under uncultured bacterium. RNAcentral describes it as "partial 16S ribosomal RNA". It matches the Rfam family "Bacterial small subunit ribosomal RNA", at positions 32 to 319 of the family's 1533-position model. The record is from RNAcentral.